This is a long non-coding RNA of Apis dorsata (giant honeybee), 812 nucleotides long. RefSeq lists it as uncharacterized. The record is from RefSeq and is a predicted model, not a curated record. Lineage: Eukaryota; Metazoa; Arthropoda; Insecta; Hymenoptera; Apidae. The transcript is spliced from 2 exons.
AGUUUCUCGCGCUUUCUAUGUCUCGAUCAGAGGAAGGACGAUUAAAGUUCAGGGAGAGGAAAGUCGGGAAAGGUGAAAGUUUUUGACGAAUUUCAACCUUCGAAGCGAAAGAAUGGUUAAUUUGGUGUUCGACGAUUCGAAAGCGAAGAGGAAGGGAGGGGGAAAGAGAGAGAGGGAGAGUCGAGUCGAGACGAGAGUACGAUUAAUGAGGGGAGAGGAGGGAUUGACGCGAGUGGAGAGACACGAAACGUUAAUGCCUCCUCUUGCAAUGCGUCCUCUGUUAUACGCGAUAAUUACGCGAAUUCUUUUUCUGCCUCUCGAUGCGAUAGGUGCAAUUUUCCAUGCCGAGGAUAACGGAUGAGGAUACGAAAGAGAAUCGUCGAACGAGAAUCGCAUCGAACGGAUCCAACAGGUAGAAUUCUCUUCCCUUUGUCGGCGAAUCGCAAGGAUUAUCUCCGGUUGGGGGAAAAAUCCGUUGGACGCGACGCACCACGGUUCACGAAAUGGAUGAUGGAAUAUCGGGCAGAGGGAAGGAGGAAGGUAUCCUGAGUGGUGGGGACGGAUAGAGACGACGAAAGCAACGAAGAUUUUUCUUCUCUCCGGUGGCAAACACGGGAAUUACCUGUUGUACGACGGGAUGGGUGGACAAUCCGUGCGGCCAUUUAUCAAAUUGAACGAGAGAAUCCAGCGAUGGACCCGUCGCGCGGUUUCCGUCGUUCGUCGCUGGAAAAAGGCGAAAAGAAGAAGGACGAGAAGAUGGAAGGGGGGAGACGAAAGACGUAGAAAAGUCGGUCCCCGACCGUGGACGAAAG